Long non-coding RNA from Trifolium pratense (red clover), 1429 nucleotides. RefSeq lists it as uncharacterized. The transcript is spliced from 4 exons. The record is from RefSeq and is a predicted model, not a curated record. NCBI's taxonomy places the organism in Eukaryota, Viridiplantae, Streptophyta, Magnoliopsida, Fabales, Fabaceae.
AGAAACUUUCACUCUCUCGAUUCAAAGUCGCUCUCAAACGUUCUAUAUUCGAUCAGAGUUUCGUCAUUCUUCUCCAACAGCAAUUUGAAAUGCAUUGCGGUUUGAUUUUCACGAGCAUUCAAGAAUCUUCAAAAACUCUCGUGAUUCUUCACUGACAGUUUUCAAAUUGAUUUCAGAAUCAAUUGAUUAUGUUGCAUUGCAAUGUUGGGCGGAACACCGACUGGGGCAGGAGGUUUUAUGAGGCAGAGACAUAGUCUGGGUUAUGCUAGUAGUGGUGAUGACUUGGAAGAUGAUGCAUGUUCGAGGCUGCGUAAUUUUCUGCCUCCGAGGAUGUGGGAUGAGAUGCUAGAAAAUUCUCUUUGGCUUGCUUGAGCUGGUUUUAUUCUAUACUAUGGUGAUCAGCAUUCCAAUUUCAUAUAUCUCAUGUGCCAUGGCGAUCGUAUUAGAAGAAUUCUGGUGAAAAGAAUUGCAACGGAUUGGAACAUAAAGCUAGCAUAUGAGAAUGAUCAAAGAAAAAGCGGAAAUUUAUCCGGAGAAACAACCUUCAAUUUUCUCUGCAUAGGAAAAAGAAUUCUGGCGAAAAGAAGUGCAUCGGAUUGGAACAUAAAGCAAGUGUCUUGGCGAGAAUUUUCUCCGAAGAACAACAUUCAGUUUUCUCUGCCAAAGAAACAACAUUCAAUUUUCUCUGCAUUGGAAAAAGGUACCCUUUUUUACACUCUUGAUAAUUCAAAAAUGUUAAGUCCUCUGCACGAAAAAACAGAACACUUUAAUUGAGGAAAUAUGCUAUGUCCCAAAACUCUAUUUGACACCAAUAUUAUGAAAGAUGAUUUUCCAUAUGAUCAAUUUCUUGACAAACCUCUAUGAAUGUUGGUCAAGAGAUGGUUCUACAGGUUGAAGUACCCAUUUUUCCCAUUUCUUUUAUCGUACAAGAACAUUCCAAUUUGGGAUAUUUUUUUCAAUUGCAACAUACUGGUUUAUCAUUGAUACCUUGUUCGGAGACCCAUUUUUUCAUUCUUGAUUAUUCAAGAAUAUUUAAUCUUCUACUUGAAAAAAAAAAACAGUGGUUUAAGAUUUUUGUGGGAUACUGAUUUUAUUAUUCUUCUAAUGGAUGAGAUGUCUUGAUGAUUCAAAUUUUCUGCAUGAAAAAGGUACCAUUUUUUACAUUCUUGAUGAUUCAAAAUUGUUCAAUCUUCUGCAAGAAAAAAGAAAACACUUACAUUGAGGAAACAUGCUAUGUCCCAAAACUCUGUUUGACACCAAUGUUUUGAAAGAUGAUUUAUUCAUACGAACAAUUUCAUGGCAAACCUCUAUGAAUGUUGGUCAAAAAAAGGUUCCACAUGUUGAAAUACCCAAUUUUCUCUUUUUUUUUUUUUAUUGUACAAGAAUAUUCAAUCUUCUGCAUGACAGAAAUGUGAUCCCCCCAAGACCC